GACGAACGCUGGCGGCGUGCUUAACACAUGCAAGUCGAACGAUGAAGCCUAGCUUGCUAGGUGGAUUAGUGGCGAACGGGUGAGUAAUACGUGAGUAACCUACCUUUAACUCUGGGAUAAGCCUGGGAAACUGGGUCUAAUACCGGAUACGACCAAUCUCCGCAUGGGGUGUUGGUGGAAAGCGUUAUGUAGUGGUUAUAGAUGGGCUCACGGCCUAUCAGCUUGUUGGUGAGGUAACGGCUCACCAAGGCGACGACGGGUAGCCGGCCUGAGAGGGUGACCGGCCACACUGGGACUGAGACACGGCCCAGACUCCUACGGGAGGCAGCAGUGGGGAAUAUUGCACAAUGGGCGCAGGCCUGAUGCAGCGACGCCGCGUGAGGGAUGACGGCCUUCGGGUUGUAAACCUCUGUUAGCAGGGAAGAAGAGAGAUUGACGGUACCUGCAGAGAAAGCGCCGGCUAACUACGUGCCGGCAGCCGCGGUAAUACGUAGGGCGCGAGCGUUGUCCGGAAUUAUUGGGCGUAAAGAGCUUGUAGGCGGUUUGUCGCGUCUGCUGUGAAAGGCCGGAGCUUAACUCCGUGUAUUGCAGUGGGUACGGGCAGACUAGAGUGCAGUAGGGGAGACUGGAAUUCCUGGUGUAGCGGUGGAAUGCGCAGAUAUCAGGAGGAACACCGAUGGCGAAGGCAGGUCUCUGGGCUGUAACUGACGCUGAGAAGCGAAAGCAUGGGGAGCGAACAGG
RNAcentral lists this ribosomal RNA (741 nucleotides) under Rothia mucilaginosa. Its description in RNAcentral is "bacterial SSU rRNA". It matches the Rfam family "Bacterial small subunit ribosomal RNA", at positions 28 to 776 of the family's 1533-position model. The record is from RNAcentral. Lineage: Bacteria; Bacillati; Actinomycetota; Actinomycetes; Micrococcales; Micrococcaceae.